Molecule: transfer RNA, 83 nt
Filed under: Actinomadura livida
Lineage: Bacteria; Bacillati; Actinomycetota; Actinomycetes; Streptosporangiales; Thermomonosporaceae
Description: tRNA-Val
Source: RNAcentral
GCCUGGCGGAGCGGCCGGAGACCGGCCGCCCCUGACAAGGGCGGAAUUCCGGGCUCGGGCCCUUUCGUGCCGGGUCCCGGGCG